CGCGUAGGGCUUGAAUGCUAAUGUUUUGAGUUUCUUUUAUAUUGUAUUUUAAUUUUUUUUUAUUUUGGUGCUGCUUAAAUGAUCCCAUCAGCGUAACAAAAUUUGUGAAGGUGUUCCAGUUUGCUGGCAUCGAGUUGUCUAUUUAUGAUGUGCCCAUUUAUUGCUUCUAUCCUGUAAGUGCAAUAUUUAUUAAAGGUUUACAUUGUUUUAGAAACUCUGCACUAUUAUUUCUUAUUUUUUUCUCCUAUAUGCUGCAAUUCCAAUACGAGGAUAUUCUUCAAUGCAUUUGAUAUGCCAUCAAUCAAUUUGGGUUUGUGAGUGUGCAUUUUAUCCAUUUUAAUAUUGUUUUAGACAAGGC
This is a non-coding RNA of Pelobates cultripes (western spadefoot toad), 358 nucleotides long. The record is from the annotation of a GenBank genome assembly. NCBI's taxonomy places the organism in Eukaryota, Metazoa, Chordata, Amphibia, Anura, Pelobatidae.